UACGUAGGGGGCUAGCGUUGUCCGGAAUCAUUGGGCGUAAAGAGCGUGUAGGCGGCCCGGUAAGUCCGCUGUAAAAGUCAAAGGCUCAACCUUUGAAUGUCAGUGGAUACUGCCGGGCUAGAGUCCGGAAGAGGCGAGUGGAACUCCUGGUGUAGCGGUGGAAUGCGCAGAUAUCAGGAAGAACACCGACGGCGAAGGCAGCUCGCUGGGACGGUACUGACGCUGAGGCGCGAAAGCGUGGGGAGCGAACAGG
Molecule: ribosomal RNA, 253 nt
Filed under: uncultured bacterium
Lineage: Bacteria
Description: partial 16S ribosomal RNA
Rfam family: Bacterial small subunit ribosomal RNA
Source: RNAcentral